This 430-nucleotide ribosomal RNA is filed under the name uncultured bacterium. RNAcentral describes it as "partial 16S ribosomal RNA". It matches the Rfam family "Bacterial small subunit ribosomal RNA", at positions 355 to 773 of the family's 1533-position model. The record is from RNAcentral.
UGGGGAAUUUUGGACGAAUUGGGCGAAAGCCUGAUCCAGCAAUGCCGCGUGUGUGAAGAAGGCCUUCGGGUUGUAAAGCACUUUUGUCCGGAAAGAAAUCCUUGGCUCUAAUACAGUCGGGGGAUGACGGUACCGGAAGAAUAAGCACCGGCUAACUACGUGCCAGCAGCCGCGGUAAUACGUAGGGUGCAAGCGUUAAUCGGAAUUACUGGGCGUAAAGCGUGCGCAGGCGGUUUGCUAAGACCGAUGUGAAAUCCCCGGGCUCAACCUGGGAACUGCAUUGGUGACUGGCAGGCUAGAGUAUGGCAGAGGGGGGUGAGAAUUCCACGUGUAGCAGUGAAAUGCGUAGAGAUGUGGAGGAAUACCGAUGGCGAAGGCAGCCCCCUGGGCCAAGUACUGACGCUCAUGCACGAAAGCGUGGGGAGCAAAC